This 460-nucleotide ribosomal RNA is filed under the name uncultured bacterium. Its description in RNAcentral is "partial 16S ribosomal RNA". It matches the Rfam family "Bacterial small subunit ribosomal RNA", at positions 338 to 795 of the family's 1533-position model. The record is from RNAcentral.
CCUACGGGAGGCAGCAGUGAGGCAUAUUGGUAAAUGGACGAGAGUCUGAACCAGCCAAGUAGCGUGAAGGAUGCCUGACCUAUGGGUUGUACACUUCUUUUAUAUGGGAAUAAAAUGUUCCACGUGUGGGAUUUUGUAUGUAACAUAUGAAUAAGGAUCGGCUAACUCCGUGCCAGCAGCCGCGGUACUACGGAGGAUCCGAGCGUUAUACGGCUUUCUUGGGUUUAAAGGGAGCGUAGGUGGAUUGUUAAGUCAGUUGUGAAAGUUUGCGGCUCAACCGUAAAAUUGCAGUUGAAACUGGCAGUCUUGAGUACAGUAGAGGUGGGCGGAAUUCGUGGUGUAGCGGUGAAAUGCUUAGAUAUCACGAAGAACUCCGAUUGCGAAGGCAGCUCACUGGACUGCAACUGACACUGAGGCUCGAAAGUGUGGGUAUCAAACAGGAUGAGAUACCCCUGUAGUC